ACUGCACGGGAGAGGGGGCCGGAGGCUGCAUGUGCGCAGCUCCGCCCGCGGAUCCCCGAAGCCCGCUCGCAGCAUCCCGCGGAUCCCGGCCAGCGCAGCGAGGGAACGCCGCCCGCCGCCUGCCAUGGACGAGGGCAUCUCCCGCCUGCCCGAGCGGCAGCUGCUGGAGCACCGCGAUUUCCUAGGGCUGGAGUACCCGGCGCUCUACAUGUGCAAGCCCAAGCGCGGCGUGAAGCGGGACGAGAGCAAGGAGACGUACAAACUGCCGCACCGGCUGAUCGAGAAGAAGCGGCGGGACAGGAUCAACGAGUGCAUCGCGCAGCUGAAGGACCUGCUGCCCGAGCACCUCAAGCUCACGACGCUGGGGCACCUGGAGAAGGCGGUGGUGCUGGAGCUGACGCUGAAGCACCUGAAGGCGCUGACGGCGCUGACGGAGCAGCAGCACCAGAAGAUCGUCGCGCUGCAGAGCGGGGAGCGCUCCGUCAAGUCUCCGGUGCAGGCCGACCUGGACGCUUUCCACUCGGGCUUUCAGACGUGCGCCAAGGAGGUGCUGCAGUUCCUGUCCCGCUCCGAGAGCUGGACCCCCCGCGAGCAGCGCUGCGCCCAGCUCCUCGGCCACCUGCACGCCGUCUCCUCGCAGUUCCUGCCCGGCCCGCGGCUCCUCUCGCCGCCGCCGGGCCCGCUCGCCAAGGGACCCUCCUCCUCUUCCUCCCCGCCCGCCCCGCUCCGCGCGCCGGCCCGCAAGCCGGAGGGCCAGGCGCACUGCGUGCCCGUCAUCCAGCGGACUCACGCCGCCGAGCCGGGCGCCGAGACCGACACGGACACGGACAGCGGCUACGGCGGCGAGGCCGAGGCGCGGCCGGAGCGCGGCGCGGGGCCGGCGGGGCCGCUCCCCGCGCUGCCCGUCAAGCAGGAGCCGGCGGGGGACGAGGCGCCGCCCGCGCCCAAGCGGCCGAGGCUGGAGCGGGGCGGCAGCCCCCCGCCCGGCGCCGCCCUGCCCGGCGCUGCCCGCGGCGCCGACGCCGCGCUGCUGAGCUCGCUGAUGGCGCUGGGCGCGGGCGGCGGCGCGGCGCCCUUCGGACAGCCGGCGGCCCCCUUCUGCCUGCCCUUCUACUUCAUCUCCCCCUCGGCCGCCGCCGCCUACGUGCAGCCCUUCCUGGAUAAGGGCGGCCUGGAGAAGUACCUCUACCCCGCCGCCCCCAUCCCGCUGCUCUACCCCGGCAUCCCGGCGCAGGCGGCCGCCGCCGCCGCCGCGGCCGCCGCGGCCGCCGCCUCCUUCCCCUGCCUCUCGUCCGUGCUCGGCCCCGCCGAAAAGGCGGCCGGGCUGUCCCCGGCGCCCCACCUGCCGCCCCCCUUCGCCGCCGCCGCCGCCGCGGUGCCCGCCGCCGAGCCCGGCGAGGAAGCGGAGCCCGCGGCCGCCGAGGAGCCCGGCGCCGAAGGGCCGUGAGCGCGGAGGGCGGGCGGGAGGCGGCGCCGGAGGGGCCCGCGGAGCCCCCCGCGCCGCUGCCCCGCAGAGGACCGUCCCGGACGAAAUUUGCUACUCAGUAUUUUUUUAAUGUUUGGCUUUAUAAGUGCAUACAUAUGUUAAGGAAAAAAGAAAGAAAAAGAAGAAGGAAAGGAAGAGAAAUAGGAAAUAAAAUUAAGGAAGCUCUCCAACAGUAGCCUGCGUUUAUGUAAGAGAGACAUAGAGAGUGCUUCUUGCUCCCUCUUCUGGUUCCUCAGCACCAGUACCCCGCACUCGGCUGCACCGACAGAACGAAGCUGGAGUGCAGACAUCACAGCAAACUGUGGGACUCGUGCUGACUCCAGUGGUCCUUUGGGAUGCAAGAGGACGUAUAAACCGGGUGAAAAAAUAAGUUCUUUUCUUAAGCGGUUCAAACACGAUUGUUAAGAAGUAGGUGUGUGUCUCUUUGUAUAGAAACUAUAGUAACAGUAAUUUGUACUAGAAAAAGAUAUCACAGAAAGAUGCCAAUCUGAUUUUUCCCAUUCAGUCUCAGGGCUGCUACUUCACACCCCCGUGCCUGUCGAGAUCAGUUGCUGAAAGCAAAGCGUAUCGAAGGCAAUGUUAAAAACUGCUGCUGGUCAGGGAUGCCACUGUUGUGUGCAUGGGGCUGGCACGGGGAUGAAAGGGAGCUGGGUGCAGCCCUAAUGCUCUGCAGCUCACCAGCCACUUUGCUUUAACCUGCAUAGCUAAAGAGCUACGCUGGGCUGGCCGUGCUCGUGUACCCUCACGCCAGGGAGGGAAUGGGCCUUACCGUUCGUGAAGCCCUUCCUGCCCAUUUAUUACGUGCACAGGAACGGCAGAGCCAUGAGCACUGCUGAGAAGAGCCCAUGGCCGCCCCUCCCGCACAACUUGGGUGGUGUGAAACCCGAGUGAGGACCGGGCUCUGUGUCUUUGUCACGUUUCCAGCUUUUGGGAAUACGGAUCAGCUUAGAUUUCACUGGGCUGCAAACCGAGAUCCUUGCAGGGCUUUACCAGUUUCAGUGUUUACCGUGUACAAUAACAGGAUGGCUUAUUUUUAUUAGCCCUUGAAUCAAGCAUGCCAAAUGAUUUCAUGCCAAGUUACAGCGUUAAUGGAGUCUAUUAAUUUAUUACAUAAAACAUAAAGGCAAAAUAAAACCAAUGCCUAACAAAAGCAAACAGGUUUAAAAGAGGCUUGUAAUUGGGGCUGAUAACCCACUGCUGCUGCAGGCAAAAGGUAAAUGCCAGGAGGGACCCGAAGAAUCAGCUCUUCAGGUUUUUAUUCAAUCCCAGGCUUCCUCAGAUCCCUUUGGAGCCUAAGCCAAACUGUAUGUUUUACAUUUUCUCAAAGUUAAAUGAUAUACUUAAACAACAGACAACAGCCUGGCAGGCUUAAAUAUAUAUUCACUUACAUGCAAAUAUCAGUGCUCAUUAUCCCUACCUACUUUCUGUCACUCCAUAAUACAUGGUGGAACUCUUACCUGUGCUUCCCAGGCGCUAUGAGCGCAGGACUGGCUGCUGUAUGUAUGGCAUAUGCUGGGAUAGAUACUGUGUUUCUCGUAAACCACAAGACACAACAUAAAGGGGUACAUGUAUUUUCUUAAGCAAAAAAAGUUUGAAAACAGGUCUUACUUACCCAGUAUAUUAUGACGGCACGGAAGGUUCCACCACAGUGUGCCAAAUAAAGAUUUUUAAGCCAGUGGAAGGUAAUAUCAUAUAACUCCCACUUAAGGCAAUGAAAGUUUUAUGUUUGGAAAGAUUACAGUUACAGAACUCAAAUUGACUAUUGACUCUGUUUAAGAAAGUCCAGACCUACCAAUUAAGUCAGUGUGAGUCUGUUUCUUGAGUGUAAUUGGUUUUGAAGUCGGUCCUAAGUCUAAGUUUUGGGGCUUAUUUGUUUCUUGGCUUGGUUUAAUUUUUGCUGCUAGUUGGACUGUGUUCAAUACUCAGCAAGCCUGGGGACUGCGUGCACUGCAGUGCUUCAGCACAGGCAAAUUUAUAGUCUGUGGGUCCCACAAUGUGUUUCCUUUCCUCUUCGAACAUCAGCUCCUGAAGUCAUGUGAUCUUUGCCUUGACUUGAGAAGUUUCCUGCCUGUUAGCUGCAGAAAUGUUCGUAAAACAUGACCUUAAAGAAAACAAGAAACAGA
This is an RNA transcript of Gallus gallus (chicken), 3609 nucleotides long. It is a transcript of the gene named basic helix-loop-helix family member e41, with no coding region annotated. NCBI's taxonomy places the organism in Eukaryota, Metazoa, Chordata, Aves, Galliformes, Phasianidae. The record is from RefSeq and is a predicted model, not a curated record. The transcript has 6 exons.